RNAcentral lists this ribosomal RNA (301 nucleotides) under uncultured bacterium. Its description in RNAcentral is "partial 16S ribosomal RNA". It matches the Rfam family "Bacterial small subunit ribosomal RNA", at positions 509 to 807 of the family's 1533-position model. The record is from RNAcentral.
CAGUAGCCGCGGGAAUACGUAGGGUGCAAGCGUUAAUCGGAAUUACUGGGCGUAAAGCGUGCGCAGGCGGUUAUAUAAGACAGAUGUAAAAUCCCCGGGCUCAACCUGGGAACUGCAUUUGUGACUGUAUAGCUAGAGUACGGCAGAGGGGGAUGGAAUUCCGCGUGUAGCAGUGAAAUGCGUAGAUAUGCGGAGGAACACCGAUGGCGAAGGCAAUCCCCUGGGCCUGUACUGACGCUCAUGCACGAAAGCGUGGGGAGCAAACAGGAUUAGAUACCCGCGUAGUCCCUGUCUCUUAUAC